RNAcentral lists this non-coding RNA (21 nucleotides) under Arabidopsis thaliana (thale cress). RNAcentral also lists the same sequence under 1 other name. Lineage: Eukaryota; Viridiplantae; Streptophyta; Magnoliopsida; Brassicales; Brassicaceae. The record is from RNAcentral.
AGACAGGUUAGUUUUACCCUA